This is a long non-coding RNA of Halichondria panicea, 790 nucleotides long. RefSeq lists it as uncharacterized. The transcript is spliced from 2 exons. The record is from RefSeq and is a predicted model, not a curated record. NCBI's taxonomy places the organism in Eukaryota, Metazoa, Porifera, Demospongiae, Suberitida, Halichondriidae.
CUGAAACUCAAGCCCUGUUUACACGCAAAGUAAUGCACAUUGUAAUCCAGAUUAGAUAAUGCGCAUUAGUGCGUUUACACAGCCACAAAGCCAGUUGUGGUUUUAUGCUGUGUAAACAGUCUGAACCGGAUUAGUAACCUCAUGCAAAGUGCUUCAAUUGGAAAAGAAGUAAGAAUCUUGGAAAGAGGACCUUAUGUAACAGUUUGGAGUGAUCUAAUGGCUCACAAUAAUAAAAUGUACUGGCCUCUCCUUCAGUAUUGGCCACAGCACCGGCACUCUCCACUGGAAACUGUGGCUGAAUUUGACUGCCAUCUGUGUUAAUAAAUUUAAGAUAAGUAUCAAGUGUAUCAUUAUAAUUAUUGUACCGUCUGUAUCCUCCACAAUCUCAUCCACCCUUUCCUCCAUCUCAGAGCUUGUGUCAACGAGGAAAGAUGGAGCGGAGGCUGGUCGGUGCCCCAGAAUCCUAUCCAGCUCGUCAUAAAACUUACAUGUUUUCCUCCUUUCCCCAGUCUUGUUAUUGCUAUCCUUUACUUUUUUGUAGUUUGUUUUUAAGUUUUUAAUUUUUAUCCUACAUUGCGUCCAGUCUCUUUCAUAUUCCUUUUUCUUCAUUUCUUGUGCUAUUUUUUCGUAAAUUACUUUAUUUCUUACAGCUCCGUCCAGUUGCUGCUGCAAGUCACUAGCUCCCCAGAUAGCUAUUAGUGCCUUCAUUUCAUUGUCACUCCAGUAUGUGCCUCUGUUCAUUGUCUUCUCUUCUUAUAGGACUUCUUAUGCCACAAAUGAAUUCUUUGCA